Molecule: RNA transcript, 3939 nt
Organism: Carlito syrichta (Philippine tarsier)
Lineage: Eukaryota; Metazoa; Chordata; Mammalia; Primates; Tarsiidae
Gene name: protocadherin Fat 3 pseudogene
Exons: 1
Source: RefSeq, a predicted model, not a curated record
AUGGGUAUAAUUAUGGGACACUGUGUGGGCUUACGGCCUCCUCCUUCUUGCCUCAUCCUCCUACUGCUCAAGCUUCUGGCCACUGUCUCCCAGGGGCUGCCGGGGACUGGGCCUCUGGGCUUCCACUUCACACAUCCCAUGUAUAAUGCCACCGUGUAUGAGAACUCAGCAGCAAGGACCUACGUCAACAGCCAGAGUAGAAUGGGCAUCACCUUGAUAGAUCUUUCCUGGGAUAUCAAAUACAGAAUAGUGUCCGGAGACGAGGAAGGCUUUUUCAAAGCAGAGGAAGUCAUCAUUGCAGAUUUCUGUUUUCUCAGAAUAAGAACUAAAGGUGGCAAUUCUGCCAUAUUGAAUAGGGAGAUUCAGGACAAUUAUUUAUUGAUAGUAAAAGGUUCUGUUAGAGGAGAGGAUUUGGAAGCAUGGACCAAAGUUAAUAUACAGGUUUUAGAUAUGAAUGACCUGAGACCUCUGUUUUCACCCACAACAUACUCUGUUACAAUAGCAGAAAGCACACCUUUAAGGACUAGUGUCGCACAGGUGACAGCAACAGAUGCAGAUAUUGGUUCCAAUGGAGAAUUCUACUACUACUUUAAGAGCAAAGUUGAUCUUUUUUCAGUUCAUCCCACAAGUGGUGUCAUUUCUUUAAGUGGACGAUUAAAUUAUGAUGAAAAGAAUAGAUAUGAUCUGGAAAUUUUGGCUGUGGACCGAGGAAUGAAACUUUAUGGAAACAACGGAGUGAGCAGUACUGCAAAGCUUUAUGUUCACAUUGAACGUAUAAAUGAGCAUGCCCCAACAAUUCAUGUAGUCACUCAUGUUCCUUUCUCAUUGGACAAAGAGCCAACAUAUGCAGUGGUGACAGUCGAUGACCUGGAUGAGGGGGCCAAUGGAGAAAUUGAAUCUGUUUCCAUCAUAGCUGGGGAUCCUUUCGAUCAGUUCUUCUUGGCUAAGGAAGGAAAGUGGUUGAACGAGUACAGGAUUAAGGAGAGGAGGCAGAUUGACUGGGGCAGCUUUUCCUAUGGCUACAAUCUUACUCUUCAAGCGAAAGACAAGGGAGCUCCUCAAAAGUUUUCAGCAUUAAAAAUGGUCCACAUUGUCAACCCCAGAAGAGACACAGUCCCAGUUAGAUUUGAAAAAGAAGUGUACGAUGUGAGCAUGAGCGAGUUUUCCCCUCCUGGUGUUGUGGUUGCUAUAGUAAAGUUAAGCCCCGAACCGCUAGACGUGGAAUACAAAUUGUCCCCAGGUGAGGAUGCAGUGUACUUUAAAAUUAAUCCUCGGUCAGGGUUGAUUGUUACUGCCCAGUCACUGAAUACUGUCAAAAAGGAGGUUUAUAAACUGGAGGUGACAAACAAGGAAGGAGACUUAAAAUCACAAGUCACAGUCGGCAUAGAAGAUGCAAAUGACCACACCCCUGAGUUCCAGCAGCUGCUGUAUGAUGCUUACGUGAAUGAAAGUGUCCCAGUGGGAGCCAGUGUUCUGACGGUGUCAGCUUCUGAUAAGGAUAAAGGAGAAAAUGGAUACAUCACCUAUAGUAUCACCAGCCUGAAUUUGUUACCAUUUGCCAUUAACCAGUUUACAGGUGUUAUUAGCACAACUGAAGAAUUAGAUUUUGAGUCCUCUCCAGAGACUUACAGAUUCAUCGUUAGAGCCUCUGACUGGGGUUCACCCUACCGCCACGAGAGUGAAGUAAAUGUGACUAUUCGAAUAGGAAAUGUCAAUGACAACAGCCCUCUCUUUGAAAAAGUGGCUUGCCAGGGAGUUAUUUCUUAUGACUUUCCAGUCGGUGGUCACAUCACAGCUGUCUCAGCGAUCGAUGUUGAUGAACUUGAACUUGUAAAGUAUAAAAUCAUUUCAGGAAAUGAACUUGGCUUUUUUUAUUUAAACCCAGAUUCUGGUGUUUUACAGCUUAAAAAGUCCCUGAUGAAUUCUGGCAUUAAAAAUGGUAAUUUUGCCCUCAGAAUUACAGCAACUGAUGGAGAGAAUCUUGCAGACCCCAUGUCUAUUAACAUUUCAGUUCUCCAUGGGAAGGUGUCUUCAAAGAGCUUCAGUUGCCGAGAAACUCGUGUGGCUCAAAAGCUGGCAGAGAAACUACUCAUUAAGGCAAAAGCAAAUGGGAAACUGAAUCUGGAAGAUGGCUUUCUUGACUUUUAUUCAGUUAAUAGGCAGGGACCACAUUUUGACAAGUCUUUUCCUUCUGAUGUGGCUGUAAAGGAAGAUCUGCCAGUUGGUGCUAACAUCCUGAAGAUUAAAGCCUAUGAUGCCGACUCUGGCUUCAAUGGAAAGGUGCUAUUUACAAUAUCUGAUGGAAAUACGGACAGUUGCUUUAAUAUUGAUAUGGAGACUGGGCAACUUAAGGUCCUUAUGCCCAUGGAUCGUGAACACACAGACCUCUAUAUCCUUAAUAUCACCAUCUACGACUUAGGUAAUCCACAGAAAUCUUCAUGGAGGUUGCUGACCAUCAAUGUGGAGGAUGCUAAUGACAAUAACCCUGUUUUUCUUAAAGACAGUUACUCAGUUAACGUUCUUGAAAGUUCAAGCAUUGGUACUGAGAUUAUUCAAGUGGAAGCCAGAGACAAAGACUUGGGUUCUAAUGGUGAAGUGACUUACUCGGUCUUAACAGAUACACAGCAGUUUGCCAUCAAUAGCUCAACUGGAAUUGUUUAUGUAGCUGACCAAUUAGACCGGGAAUCCAAAGCAAACUACUCUUUGAAAAUAGAAGCCAGGGACAAGGCAGAAAGUGGUCAGCAGCUAUUUUCAGUUGUCACUCUUAAAGUUUUCUUAGAUGAUGUCAAUGACUGCUCCCCAGCUUUCAUUCCCAGUAGCUAUAGUGUGAAGGUUCUUGAAGAUCUCCCCGUUGGCACUGUCAUUGCUUGGCUGGAGACUCAUGAUCCAGAUCUUGGACUGGGUGGUCAAGUGCGCUAUUCUUUGGUCAAUGACUAUAAUGGAAGAUUUGAAAUAGAUAAAGCAAGUGGUGCCAUUCGCUUGAGUAAAGAGCUUGACUACGAAAAGCAACAGUUCUAUAACCUCACUGUUCGGGCCAAAGACAAAGGGCGGCCUGUCUCGCUGUCAUCUGUGUCCUUUGUUGAGGUGGAAGUGGUGGAUGUCAAUGAGAAUCUCCACACCCCCUAUUUCCCAGACUUUGCGGUUGUUGGAUCUGUAAAGGAAAACUCACGCAUCGGAACAAGUGUGCUUCAGGUGACCGCCCGAGAUGAAGACUCUGGGAGAGAUGGAGAGAUCCAGUACUCUAUCAGGGAUGGCAGUGGUCUCGGAAGGUUCAGCAUAGAUGACGAGAGUGGUAAGUUUAACAACUUGUGCCAGAUGAGUUGUUUAACCUCUCUCAAAUCAUCAGCAUUGAGAAAGUAAAGGGAUUUUAGGGCACUAAAAUAGAUUGACAAAUGAAGUUGCAUUGGGUGCAGAGAUGAUGCAAGUAAUACUCUGUUUUUUGAGAAGAUCUGUUUAUACAGUAAGAGCCAUGGUUUCCAGUGGGGGGCUCAUUUUGUUUUGUUUUGCUUUUUCUUCCUCAGCACUGCGGCUACCAGGUCAUCUUUUGAUAAGCAUAAGUGAUUCUCACUUCUGUUGAUUGUACUCCUGACCCUCACUAAAUGAAAAGCCUGAUAAAGUAAAUUACAUUUGAAUUGGCUUUAAAUUAGAAGUGUGAAAUGGGCCUUUCAAAUGGAUCUUAUAUAGGAAUCUUUCCCUUUAUAGUAGGACCUUGCUGAUGUGAUAUUGCAUGAAAUGCUUGGUCUUACAUAUUUUACGGGUGCACCUGGGCCUUGAAUGAUGGGCAUUUUCAUUGUAUAAGCUCUAUUAAUAUGAGGAAGUGUGCUUCUGCAACUGUUUUUACAAUAGAAGUGAGGAGGCAUGCUGUGCAUUUUAUUUAUAAAAAAAGAUUUUAAACUUUUAUUUGUAAGUAUUGACUUUUUUAUAGAACAUUUGGGACGA